GUUUAAUUAGUUUAAAAAAACAAUAGUCUUGUAAACUAGUAUUAAAUUAUAAUUUUUUAUUAAACA
RNAcentral lists this transfer RNA (66 nucleotides) under Anaphothrips obscurus. RNAcentral describes it as "tRNA-Thr". Lineage: Eukaryota; Metazoa; Arthropoda; Insecta; Thysanoptera; Thripidae. The record is from RNAcentral.